GGGAUUUUUGAAAAAAGGUGGGAUUUAGAAGUAGAAGAUAAUUAGAUAAAUUAUUUUGGGGUUUGGCCAAAUGGCCAGUUAGUGAUAAAAAGUGUUAUUGUCUUAUUGAGUAAUAGUAAUAAAAAUAUUAUUGGCUAUUGGGCAACCUUGCCAAAUGACUGCGCACUUGCGCAGUGCUUCAGUGUGCAGACGACAGUUUUUUGUGUUUCAAUUUGAAAGUAAUGUAAACAAUGGCCAAUAAACCAACCAGUAAAGAAUGUGAAGUGAGUAAACAAAAUGUUUGCAAAGGGAGUAACAGUCAACCUAAACCUAUGCACCCUAUGUUCUCCAAAACUAAAAAGAAUCAAGUCGUUAACAACAGUUCAACAGCACAACAACCAUUAAACAUUGAAGUCAACAGUUCAAGUGAUACACAAGAAGUCAUUGCCAUUGUCGAUACAGUUUCACAAAACUGUUACGUUACAAGAAAUGAUGAAGCAAUAUCCUUAACUGAAGACAACAUUGCAACAUGAACACUGAGUGCAUUAUUUGAAAGAUUUACGGUUUUAAAUAAGUUCUGUGAUCGUUUAAAAACUGAAAAAGAAUGGAAUGCUCAUGCCCUACUCCCUACGUCUGCUUUCGGGGUUCUAACUGAGUCCGCAGUUUUUCGCUUGCCUGCGGAAGAAUAUUGGCAAAAAGUUUUUGCAAAUCACGAGGCCACUUUCGCUAACUUGUGCGUUUGCGUUUCAAUGCUUUUUAGUUUAAUCGUUAGUAACGUAAUUGCAGAAAGAAAAUUCAGUGAACUUAACAAUACUAAAACGGACAAAAGAACUAGUAUAGAUGAUGAUACCGUAGUUAGUCUAAUGAGAAUAAAGUCUUGGUUAAAAGCUCAUGAUAAGAGUGCUGAUGAAGUCAAUAUCACCGACGAAUUAGUCCAGGCCGUUAUUAAAGUAAAAUCCAAUGCCACCAUUCCAUAUUCUAAGUCAUUGUAAGUUUUGUGCAAUAGACCUUUUACUAGUUUUAUAUGAUGCGAAAUUUCCCUCCCAUGUGCCAUGUCCUAUAUAUCCUCUAUGCCAUUUGUUUCACCAAGACAGUUUAACGCUCGAUAAAUAAAAUACAAUUUAACCCUGAGUCAGAGACUUAUAUUUUGAAAUAAAAUUUUGGGAAAAUAGGUGGGAUUUCAAAAAAACAGGCGGGAAACGUGGGAUUUUAUAAA
RNAcentral lists this long non-coding RNA (1195 nucleotides) under Daphnia magna. Its description in RNAcentral is "uncharacterized LOC123475752". The record is from RNAcentral. Lineage: Eukaryota; Metazoa; Arthropoda; Branchiopoda; Diplostraca; Daphniidae.